RNAcentral lists this long non-coding RNA (1317 nucleotides) under Physcomitrium patens. RNAcentral describes it as "long non-coding RNA (PPAT_LNC012566)". Lineage: Eukaryota; Viridiplantae; Streptophyta; Bryopsida; Funariales; Funariaceae. The record is from RNAcentral.
AAUUGCAUCCUAUCAAUAAAAAUUCACAAUUACAUAUUAGAUUUAUUUUAAACAAUAUUAACCAUAAUCCAAAAAAUCUUUAACAAAUCUUAUUAUCAAAUCUUAGAAAUUGUCAAAUGAUAGUAAGAGUAUAAGCAAAUUUUAAGAUAAUAAAUUAUAAUGCAAAAAAUCCUAAAUAUAUUCUAAUUUCUAACCAACCCAAAGCAUAUCUUAAAUCUUAACAAACUCUAAUCAUAUCCUAAAUCUUGAUUUUACAAAAAUCCACAAAAUGCUUUAAUAAAUUUUUUCAUGGUAAUUGUAAGACAUCUUCACUACUUCCAACCCUUCAUUUUGAUCAAUUAAAACAUAUUCUAAACAUACUUAACAAACUUUGACCCUAUAAAUCCUAACAAAUCCUAUUUCUUAUUGAUUGUAUUAAAAAAAAUUAAAUAAGAAAAUAUAGCCACAAUCACAAACUAAAUCACUUUUCUAACUUAUACAUAAUAAAAUUAAAUAUUCACUACUUUUCUUUUGCUUUUGAUAGAUUCAACCACUUAUCUAACUUUCUACCUUGGGCCCCUUGUUUAUCCCAAUAAUCACUCCAAUCUUUUCAAUUCUCCUUAAUAUGCAAUCUUUAGCUUGUUAGAGCCAAAACAUUUAAGCACCUUUUGUAACACAAAUAUUUGCAAAACAAUCCAAGUAUUGAUCUCUAAUAAUUAUUCCUCCAAAAUCAGAACUGCUCCUCUACAGAAAGUUGAUCCAAAUUGCCCAAACAGACCAAGUAUUACUUCAAAUGUUACCAAAAAAUUAUCUUUGAUCCAAAUUCAAUGUCCCUAAAAUUUUCAGGGACAUUGCUCCAAAAUUUGUUAAUCCAAGAGAAUACUUGAAGAAAAUCCAAGGCCCUCCAACCAUGAGCAGACCCACAACAGGUGACGUACUCUAAUUGUAUUGGGCCCAAGCACAGAAUCCUGUUAAGGCCUUGGAGAAUAACUAGCAGCGUCCACAUCCAAGACUUAGAAGGCAGUAAGCUCACGCAACAUUUCACAAUAUUCAAAUCACAACAUUCAACUUGUGCAAAGUAUAGUAUACAUUCAAUGCCCGGGCUUUUGAAGGACACAAGAACUGCUGCUGCUGCUCCAAAUCAGAUCUCAAAAGGUUCCGGAGCCACAGCUCAUUUCUCGCCCACCCACCUGCUCAAUCUUGUGAUAUAUUUGUCUGUUCUAAUCUUGCGCCAAGAAGAAAGUCCAAAACUAAUUCUGAAGGAUGUCCUCUGCUCUUAUCUUCCUGCAAAAUCUGCUUCCUCUCCGCCUUCUCCCAAAAACUUGUCUAUUGUCAGAU